This 705-nucleotide ribosomal RNA is filed under the name uncultured organism. Its description in RNAcentral is "bacterial SSU rRNA". It matches the Rfam family "Bacterial small subunit ribosomal RNA", at positions 74 to 753 of the family's 1533-position model. The record is from RNAcentral.
UUUAGCUUGCUAGAAGAAAGUAAGUGGCGCACGGGUGAGUUACGCGUGGGUAAUCUGCCUCCGAAUCGGGGAUAACAUUGCGAAAGCGAUGCUAAUACCGGAUAAAAUCUGGUUGGCUUCGGUGAACCGGAUCAAAGGUGGUCUCUUUUAAAAAGCUACCGUUUGGAGAUGAGCUCGCGUACCAUUAGCUUGUUGGUGGGGUAAAGGCUCACCAAGGCGACGAUGGUUAGCUGGUCUGAGAGGAUGAUCAGCCACACCGGAACUGGAACACGGUCCGGACUCCUACGGGAGGCAGCAGUGAGGAAUUUUGCGCAAUGGGGGAAACCCUGACGCAGCAACGCCGCGUGAGUGAUGAAGGCUUUCGGGUCGUAAAGCUCUGUCAGGUGGGAAGAACCCACCAGGUGUAAACAUCACCUGGUGCUGACGGUACCACCGAAGGAAGCACCGGCUAACUCCGUGCCAGCAGCCGCGGUAAUACGGGGGGUGCGAGCGUUAUUCGGAAUCAUUGGGCGUAAAGGGCGCGCAGGCGGUUUUGUAAGUCAGAUGUGAAAUCCCGGGGCUUAACCCCGGAAGUGCAUAUGAAACUAUGAGACUUGAGUAUGGGAGAGGGAAGCGGAAUUCCUGGUGUAGCGGUGAAAUGCGUAGAUAUCAGGAGGAACACCGGUGGCGAAGGCGGCUUCCUGGACCAAUACUGACGCUGAGGCG